This 235-nucleotide ribosomal RNA is filed under the name uncultured bacterium. Its description in RNAcentral is "partial 16S ribosomal RNA". It matches the Rfam family "Bacterial small subunit ribosomal RNA", at positions 120 to 354 of the family's 1533-position model. The record is from RNAcentral.
AGUAACCUGCCUUGGAGUGGGGAAUAACAGCUGGAAACAGCUGCUAAUACCGCAUGAUGCAGUUGGGUCGCAUGGCUCUGACUGCCAAAGAUUUAUCGCUCUGAGAUGAACUCGCGUCUGAUUAGCUAGUUGGCGGGGCAACGGCCCACCAAGGCGACGAUCAGUAGCCGGCCUGAGAGGGUGGACGGCCACAUUGGGACUGAGACACGGCCCAAACUCCUACGGGAGGCAGCAG